This 494-nucleotide ribosomal RNA is filed under the name uncultured bacterium. RNAcentral describes it as "partial 16S ribosomal RNA". It matches the Rfam family "Bacterial small subunit ribosomal RNA", at positions 28 to 507 of the family's 1533-position model. The record is from RNAcentral.
GACGAACGCUGGCGGCGCGCUUAACACAUGCAAGUCGAACGGAAAGGCCUGCUUUCCCUUGUGGAUUGCGGGUACUCGAGUGGCGAACGGGUGAGUAACACGUGAGUGAUCUGCCCCCAACUUGGGUAUAAGCCUGGGAAACUGGGUCUAAUUCCCGAUAGGACUGCAGGGUGGUGCCUGUGGUGGAAAACGAUUUUCUAGUGGUUGGGGAUGAGCUCGCGGCCUAUCAGCUUGUUGGUGGGGUAAUGGCCUACCAAGGCGGCGACGGGUAGCCGGCCUGAGAGGGUGGACGGCCACAUUGGGACUGAGAUACGGCCCAGACUCCUACGGGAGGCAGCAGUGGGGAAUAUUGCACCAUGGGCGGGAGCCUGAUGCAGCGACGCCGCGUGGGGGAUGACGGCCUUCGGGUUGUAAACUCCUUUCGACCGCGAGGAAGCCACCUGGUUGGAAGGGUGGUGACGGUAGUGGUAGAAGAAGCACCGGCUAACUACGUG